UGGGGGCCCUACGGGAGGCAGCAGUGGGGAAUUUUGGACAAUGGGCGCAAGCCUGAUCCAGCAAUGCCGCGUGAGUGAAGAAGGCCUUCGGGUUGUAAAGCUCUUUUGUCAGGGAAGAAACGGCCGCGGCUAAUAUCUGCGGCUAAUGACGGUACCUGAAGAAUAAGCACCGGCUAACUACGUGCCAGCAGCCGCGGUAAUACGUAGGGUGCAAGCGUUAAUCGGAAUUACUGGGCGUAAAGCGUGCGCAGGCGGUUUUGUAAGUCUGACGUGAAAGCCCCGGGCUCAACCUGGGAAUUGCGUUGGAGACUGCAAGGCUUGAAUCUGGCAGAGGGGGGUAGAAUUCCACGUGUAGCAGUGAAAUGCGUAGAGAUGUGGAGGAACACCGAUGGCGAAGGCAGCCCCCUGGGUCAAGAUUGACGCUCAUGCACGAAAGCGUGGGGAGCAAACAGGAUUAGAUACCCUGGUAGUCCACGCCCUAAACGAUGUCUACUAGUUGUCGGGUUUUAAUUAACUUGGUAACGCAGCUAACGCGUGAAGUAGACCGCUUCUA
RNAcentral lists this ribosomal RNA (553 nucleotides) under Massilia agri. Its description in RNAcentral is "bacterial SSU rRNA". It matches the Rfam family "Bacterial small subunit ribosomal RNA", at positions 331 to 873 of the family's 1533-position model. The record is from RNAcentral. Lineage: Bacteria; Pseudomonadati; Pseudomonadota; Betaproteobacteria; Burkholderiales; Oxalobacteraceae.